RNAcentral lists this unclassified non-coding RNA (309 nucleotides) under Hevea brasiliensis (rubber tree). Lineage: Eukaryota; Viridiplantae; Streptophyta; Magnoliopsida; Malpighiales; Euphorbiaceae. The record is from RNAcentral.
CAGGAGAAGAGUUGUCCACCAGCAGAGAAAAAUGGACAGUCCAGUGCACAGAACAUUCAAUAUUCAGGCAGGGAUCUGGAAAAGGAACACACACACCCCAAGGGACGGGCACCACAGCUCAAGCAUCACAUGAAAACUCUACCAUUGCUCCAAGCUCCUUUCAGGGUGCUAGCCAAUGAUGCCUACACACAAUUUCUUUACACCUCCAUCUCAAUCAUGCUGCAAUGACAUCAAUAUUGGAAACUUGCUCACCAUUGCGGUGUCUCGACUCAGCUAUCAGGCUCACUGCUCUGCCCACUGCAUGAGCGG